AUCAGCGCCAGGGAACUACAAGCAAUGCUUAAAACCCAAAGGACUUGACGGUGUCCCACCCACCUAGAGGAGCCUGUUCUAUAAUUGAUAAUCCCCGCUUUACCUAACCAUCCCUUGCUUUUCAGUCUGUAUACCUCCGUCGAAAGCUUACCAUGUGAACGCCCUCAGUAAGCUUAAUGACCCCAUCAAUACGUCAGGUCAAGGUGCAGCUCACGGAAUGGGAAGAAAUGGGCUACAAUUUCUAACCUAGAACAAACGAAAGGCUACGUGAAACCCUAGCUCCGAAGGCGGAUUUAGUAGUAAAAAGAAAAUAGAGAGUUCUUUUUAACCCGGCUCUGGGACGCGUACACACCGCCCGUCACCCUCUUCAAUAGUACUCCUCCUGUUCAUAACCUACUACUUACACCAUAGAAGAGGCAAGUCGUAACAUGGUAAGUGUACUGGAAAGUGCACUUGGUCUACAA
Molecule: ribosomal RNA, 464 nt
Filed under: Glandirana tientaiensis (Tientai rough-skinned frog)
Lineage: Eukaryota; Metazoa; Chordata; Amphibia; Anura; Ranidae
Description: Rugosa tientaiensis (Tientai rough-skinned frog) partial 12S ribosomal RNA
Rfam family: Bacterial small subunit ribosomal RNA
Source: RNAcentral